This is a long non-coding RNA of Brassica napus (rape), 3226 nucleotides long. RefSeq lists it as uncharacterized. The transcript has 3 exons. NCBI's taxonomy places the organism in Eukaryota, Viridiplantae, Streptophyta, Magnoliopsida, Brassicales, Brassicaceae. The record is from RefSeq and is a predicted model, not a curated record.
AAUUUUAAAACCAUGUUGUGAUACCCUUUUAAAUGGGCACACUAACAACUAGAUAAAAGUAACUUUUUAAAAUACUAUUACAAAUUUGAAAUUAUAUAAACUAUUAUUAUUCUUCAUCUUAUCCAAUUUAAAAUUUUGGUGACAAUUUUUUCUGAUUUAUAUAAAUACAUUAACGUGUUUUUCUUAUUUAUCAUAUCUUUAAUAAAAUUAUAUCUUACUAAAAUAUAAAUAAUAAAAUAUUUAUUAUUAUACGAUCUUAAAUAUGCUUACAACUUUGAAUUUAUUUAUACAAUUUUCUUAUAUAAAUUAUUUUUAAUUUUUAAAAUUAAGUGGGAAUUUUUUUUAGUUUUCAAAGUUGAUAUUAUAUAUUUUGAUAUUUUGUUCAAAAAUGUUAAGAGGCCUUUUACAUUUCUUUCACUAAGAUAUGUUGUACAAAAUAUUAGACAAAUUAAACAAUAACUAAAAUAUAUAAAGCAAUCACCAAAGUUUUAAAUUGGAUAAGAUGAACAAGAAUAGUAGUUUAUAUAAUGGAGAAUUUCAAUUUGUAAUAAUAUUUCAAAAAAUUAUUUUAGUCUAGUUGUUAGUGUGCCCCUUUAAAAGGAUAUCCCAGCACAGAUUUGAAUCCCGAAAUGAACAUAUUUUAAAAAAAAAUACAUAUAUCAAAACAACAUCGUCUUAUCUUUGUUAAAAGUUGAUUAACGUCUGUUAGAGUUAAUGUAGAUUUAGACACGUUUUAGAAAAAAUUGGAUAAUUUUUUUUUAAAUUAUAAUUGAGUUGAGGUCGUUUUUGGCACUAACUAUUUGUUCGGGUCUUAUUUGGCACGAUUGAGAGUGUUGGGGUCGAAAUUGGCACUUUUCCUCGUAUAUCAAACGACGUCGUUUUAUCUUGUUAACGGUUGACUAACUUCUGUUAGAGUCAAUGUAGAUUUAAGCACGUUUUAAGAAGUUCGGGUAGUUUUUUUUAAUUAUAAUUGAGUUGAGGUCGUAUAUGGCACUGAUCAAUUGUUCGGGUCGUAUUUGGCACGACUGAAAUAGUUUGGGUCGAAAUUGGCACUUUUCCCUGAUUUGUCAACACCCGUUACGGGUUUUGGUUGGUAAAGUGUAAACGCAGUUUUACAUAGUGGUAACGUAAGAGCUGUCAAACUCAAAACUAGCAAGCCAUGAACGAGUGUCGGACCUCGAGCAGCCUGUUCUGAGCCUUAGUUGUCUUCUCAUUUCAACACUUAUUUAGUUGUUGUUGAAAUAAAGAUUUAAUCUGAUUGUUGUGUAGUUAAGAAAACAAGCAAAUGUAAAAAGCAGAAUACGUAAGAUAAUGUGAAACUGCCGAGUUUUAAGUUAUCCCACUACAUAAAAGCUACUAAUUUUGAAUGUUAUAAAGGAUGCCACAUAGGCAAAAUAUUCUCAGCCAUUCAUUCUGCCACAUCACUGAUAACCCAGACCAACAAAUCGUAAUUGCAGCCCAGCCCGUUAACCGGUUUCGCUCACGAAAUUGCUGUCUCCGUCUCUUUGCUGUUGGGCCAGAUUAAAAAAUUUUCCAGCCCAUCCCAUUACUUAUUUCAACUGUCAAACUAUUUUCUUUUGCAUUUUCUAUUAUUGCAGACAAUUUUUUAUUUCAACUGUUUUCUAUAACAAUGUGCAAACCGACUAAGUUCCCUUUGAUCUUAAAAUAGUACGCCCAAGAUAACAAAACCCCCUCAUUUCACACACAGUCCCUGUAAAUUUCUAUAAAAAACUAAAUUCUACUAUCAAACCCACCCAACAAAUUUACUACUACCACCUAUAAUUAUGGCCCGGCCUACUUAAACUUUUAAAAAAACCAUGACAAUACUUAAAAAAAACACACCCUAACUAUGUUCACUUUAAAAAAAAAAAUUUAAACAAAAUUGCCAAAAAAAUACUAAUUCUCAUUCUUAUCUAUGUAGCACAUGCACCACAAGAUCAAAGCAAUUAGGACAACACCCUCGAACCUCAUCCAAUAAUCGUUAGGAUCCUUAGGGUCUGGCCCAUCACAAAUCACAAAAAUAAAGAUGCUUUCCUAGGGACAACUUUCAUAUGUCUUGACAUCCAGGUUUGUCUAAAAUUCAUAUUUUUAAUUAUUCCAACUAUAUUUCAAAUGAUUGCUUCUAACCACUAAACAGGAACAAAAAAUGGAGGGGAAGGUACCUAUUUCUACGUCUGACACAAUGUACCAACGCUUCGAAGAAGGGAAAAUUUAUCACAUUAGAUAUUUUAAUCUCCUCCCCAAUAACCAACGUUACAGGCUUACCGAUCAACCAUACAUAAUCAAUAUCAAAGAAACAACAACUAUUACACUGAUUCAAGAAAACAUUGCACCGAUUCCUUCAUACAUAUUCCGGCCACAACGCUACACCCAGUUGAUCAGCUUAGCAAGUGAAACCAACUUCCUACCAGAUGUUGUUGGCCGCAUUUGCCUCAUCCAAGGAAGUGAUUUAUAUAACCACUACACAGAUUCAAAAAUCAUCAUUGGAUUACGUUUAGACAGAUCGAAAUUGGUACGUCUAACUUUAUGGGACAAGGAGGCAUCUAAUUUCAGGGAGUUAAAUCGCAUAUCAACAAGGAAAAAACAAGUCGUAAUCAUCACAAGUAUCAUUCCACGGAUACAUGAAAGUAAUAAACUAAACAUAAACUUUACAAAAAACUAAAUGCUAACAAAUAUUUGCCUUUUUCAGAAAAACUAUCACUCACAGCAACACCUGGAACGCGCUUCUACUUUAACAACGAAAUUGAUAUCAUUCAACGCUUCCAAAAGAGGAAUAAACUGCUAUCUUAAGCCUCAUAGCAAACACCACCAGUCAACUUUUAAAACAUUUACGUUACCACUUCCUACAUCAAUUAAAUUGUCACACACAAAGAUUAUUUUCUCAUUCAAAUAUCGAAUUCCUCAAAACUAUUUAUUAUUCAUACUUACAGUUGUUUUUAAAAAAAAAAUGAUCACCGUUUCGAACUUCUCCCCUGUAUAAAAAAACAAAACUUAACUUAUCCUUUCAGAAACCAAAAAACACACAAUUUUAAUUCACCUGAUUUUUAUUAAACAUGUAAUCCGCGCGCAGCGCGGACGCCGGCCCUAGUUAGUAUAAUAAAAUAAAAAGCAGAAUACGUAUGAAUGAAGCAAAAUCUCGACGAAUCCAAAACGCUUAUUUUAUAAGUUUGUGUGUUAUACAUUAAUGAACACUGUGAAUAUUCAUAAACUCCCCUUGUACUGCAUU